UACGGAGGGUCCAAGCGUUAUCCGGAUUUAUUGGGUUUAAAGGGUGCGUAGGCGGUUUUAUAAGUUAGAGGUGAAAGACCGUAGCUCAACUACGGAACUGCCUCUGAUACUGUAAGGCUAGAGAAUGGUUGCUGUGGGCGGAAUGUGUGGUGUAGCGGUGAAAUGCUUAGAGAUCACACAGAACACCGAUUGCGAAGGCAGCUCACAAAGCCAUUUCUGACGCUGAGGCACGAAAGCGUGGGGAGCAAACAGGAUUAGAUACCCCGGUA
RNAcentral lists this ribosomal RNA (269 nucleotides) under uncultured prokaryote. RNAcentral describes it as "partial 16S ribosomal RNA". It matches the Rfam family "Bacterial small subunit ribosomal RNA", at positions 524 to 792 of the family's 1533-position model. The record is from RNAcentral.